AUUGGGGAGGGAAGGUCCCUCAGCCCGGAUUGUGAGAGGGUGCAGGCCAGGUCGAGGGACCCCACCAGUGCACG
Non-coding RNA from Myotis lucifugus (little brown bat), 74 nucleotides. Lineage: Eukaryota; Metazoa; Chordata; Mammalia; Chiroptera; Vespertilionidae. The record is from Rfam.